UUCUGGAAGGAUUGACAGAUUGAGAGCUCUUGCUUGAUUCGGUGAAUGGUGGUUCAUGUCCGUUCCUAGUUGGUGGAGCGAUUUUUCUGGUUAAUUCCGAUAACAAACGAGGCCAUAGCCAAUUGAAUACAUGUGUGGUUCCGUGCACCUUGCACCCUUCUUCGAGGGACAAGCGGCUCCUAGUAGCACGAAACAGAGCAAGAACAGGUCUGUGAUGCCCUUAGAUGUCCGAGGUCGCACGCAUGCUGUACUGAAGGAAGCAGCGCGUUUUUAUCCGUGUCUGUUAAGACAGUAAGCUUAACAAAAAAAAAGUGACUUGAGUAAAUACAGAGGACUAAUUGAAGUCAAUCGGAUUGCCCCCGAGCAAGUGUUUGUCUGUUUAAAUAACAAGGCAUAGAAAA
Ixodes scapularis (black-legged tick) is the source of this 401-nucleotide non-coding RNA. The record is from Rfam. Lineage: Eukaryota; Metazoa; Arthropoda; Arachnida; Ixodida; Ixodidae.